UUGGAAAGAAAUCCAUUGGAAAUCAUGGGAACGUCAUGGAAGUUAAUGAAGUGGAUCGUCUCGGUUCUAGAGGGCGACCUGGGUUUUACAGAGUUACCCUGAAGAUUUCUGUUGUGGGAAAAUACCCGGGAAGUGACAGAGCCAAGCCAGUCAUUACUGGAGGCACGUCGAGGAAAAGACAAGACUGACUGACACAGCAAGAAGCCAGGAAGAGGAGCCUCACCAGGACCCGAAUCUGCCUGCACCUUGAUCUUAGACUUCCCAGCCUCCAGAGCUGUGAGAAGACACACCAACCACUGAGAAACCAGUAUUCUUCAAUGACACCCUCCUUCAGUCUUUGGAUGUGGGCUGCUGCAGAAAGGAGGCAUGUGGCCUUGGCAAGGCAACUCUCUUCAGUCAAGACAAAUAUUGCAAAGAGCUGACAGCUGUGGAAAAAGGACCACGGCUGAGUCCAUGGAACCAGAGGACACACUGUAAUCCAGACAUGAGACUGAGCUCCAUUUAUCACUCAGUGUCAUAUGCCUCCACUCUAACAGAGGGCUCAUAUUGAUGCUUCAAUCCCUGUGUAUCACUGUCAACUCGGACCUUGUGUCAAUACUCUCGAAUAUUAGUAUUCUCUUUUCCUCCCAACAAAAUUAUUACCUGAGUAAAUGUUUGUGGAUUCCUUUGGGGAAGUACUGGAGGAACUAUUAUUGGUUAACUCAUGGUGGUUGCAGAAUCCUUCCUCCUGGGUACCCAACCUCUCCUUCAGUCAGUGGGUUCUGGGUUUGAAAACUGACUCAUAUGUGGAACUGGUGAGAAGUCAUGACUUUUUGUUGAGGCAACUGCCUUCAGCAUCUUAAUCAUACUCCGUUGAUUUCUUUUGGUCACAUAGAUUAUUUUCCUUGUUGCUGACUCAUCUAUUUUGCUCCUAGUGAUAUGAAGUUGUGUUAACUACCUCCGUCAUUCUCUGUGGGCCUGGUUCCCCAGCUGCUCCUCUGUCCUCGCCUUUCAUUAUGAUAAAUUCUAUCCACCUGGCUUCUGAGGGUUAAACAAUACCACCUGCAGUUAUAGUUCUGGGAUCCUAUCAUCCCCGUUGCUAUCAGGGGGCCCAGCUCUGUAAUGUCGUCUCCUAUGAUCAGCCCUAAC
Molecule: long non-coding RNA, 1128 nt
Filed under: Equus caballus (horse)
Lineage: Eukaryota; Metazoa; Chordata; Mammalia; Perissodactyla; Equidae
Description: lncRNA (ENSECAG00000052325.1)
Source: RNAcentral